AAGAUUUUAAGUUAAAGAAAACUAUUAAUCUUCAAAAUUAAAAUUAAACAACUUGUUUAAGUCUUG
This 66-nucleotide transfer RNA is filed under the name Aeolothrips xinjiangensis. RNAcentral describes it as "tRNA-Trp". Lineage: Eukaryota; Metazoa; Arthropoda; Insecta; Thysanoptera; Aeolothripidae. The record is from RNAcentral.